This 766-nucleotide non-coding RNA is filed under the name Sciadopitys verticillata. Lineage: Eukaryota; Viridiplantae; Streptophyta; Pinopsida; Cupressales; Sciadopityaceae. The record is from RNAcentral.
GCUGGUGCCGCCCCUUCCCCCCGAAAGAACUAUAAGGGUAGUAGGCGAGUUCAGCCCGCGUGGCCUGUCGCUCCACCUCUGAUCCUGGGGCCAUAGGCGCGGACGGGUCAGUCAGAUGAGCCUACUAUCCACAACCCGUUGUCAUUGCCGCCGCGACUGCUAGGUGUUUCCGUCUCUCGCCGUGCUUUCCUUCUAAGGUGCGCCUCUGUAUGUUUGCGCGGUGUAGUCUGGCUCAGUUGGACGUCACCUAGAAGUCGUCCCGGGAUUACGAGUGUUCAUCGUCAGUGGGCCGUCUCCACAGUCGGGUUAGUGUAGAGGGACCGGUCUCAGCCGCAGGGUGCAUGACAGGUGAACCCCUUCGGUCUGGAUCCCACCCUCUCCUUGCCCACUCGAGACGACAUCUUGCCCGACGGUGUCCUCAGUGGUCCGCCUCCUGUCUGAACUGGCGGCUCUACGCUGUAGAGUCUCGGUGGCACCCCCAGCUGGCACGUUGGCUCCAACUCGCUUUACCGGCCACCACAGGUCGCCCCGACGCUGGGGGCAGGGACAUGCCCCCAACCCCAGUGUCUAACCCUUCGGCAGCUCAUAGCCGGUUUGGGGGCACACAGAACCCCUGUGUUCUCCACCUUUGGGUGGGGGGCGUACGGUUUGGGGGUAGGGCCCUAUCAUAAACCAUCAAACACACCGAUGCCACCCAUACCAAAGACUUUAACGAAGUGCGGCGGACCUCAUGCCCUGCACAUUUGGGACGCCCGACCACUAUGAG